This 541-nucleotide ribosomal RNA is filed under the name uncultured bacterium. RNAcentral describes it as "bacterial SSU rRNA". It matches the Rfam family "Bacterial small subunit ribosomal RNA", at positions 777 to 1314 of the family's 1533-position model. The record is from RNAcentral.
AAUAGAUACCCUGGUAGUCCAUCGCCGUAAACGUUGGGCACUAGGUGUGGGGGACAUUCCGACGUUUUCCGCGCCGUAGCUAACGCAUUAAGUGCCCCGCCUGGGGAGUACGGCCGCAAGGCUAAAACUCAAAGGAAUUGACGGGGGCCCGCACAAGCGGCGGAGCAUGCGGAUUAAUUCGAUGCAACGCGAAGAACCUUACCAAGGCUUGACAUGUGCCAGACCGCCUCAGAGAUGGGGUUUCCCUUCGGGGCUGGUUCACAGGUGGUGCAUGGUUGUCGUCAGCUCGUGUCGUGAGAUGUUGGGUUAAGUCCCGCAACGAGCGCAACCCUCGUUCCAUGUUGCCAGCACGUAGUGGUGGGGACUCAUGGGAGACUGCCGGGGUCAACUCGGAGGAAGGUGGGGAUGACGUCAAAUCAUCAUGCCCCUUAUGUCUUGGGCUUCACGCAUGCUACAAUGGCCGGUACAAUGGGUUGCGAUACUGUGAGGUGGAGCUAAUCCCUAAAAGCCGGUCUCAGUUCGGAUUGGGGUCUGCUAACCG